Molecule: ribosomal RNA, 548 nt
Filed under: uncultured Glomeromycotina
Lineage: Eukaryota; Fungi; Glomeromycota
Description: SSU rRNA
Rfam family: Eukaryotic small subunit ribosomal RNA
Source: RNAcentral
UUGGAGGGCAAGUCUGGUGCCAGCAGCCGCGGUAAUUCCAGCUCCAAUAGCGUAUAUUAAAGUUGUUGCAGUUAAAAAGCUCGUAGUUGAAUUUCGGGGUCAGUAGGUUGGUCGUGCCACUGGUAUGCACUGGUCUCACUGAUUCCUCCUUCCUGAUGAACCGUAAUGCCAUUAAUUUGGUGUUGCGGGGAAUCUGGACUGUUACUUUGAAAAAAUUAGAGUGUUUAAAGCAGGCUAACGCUUGAAUACAUUAGCAUGGAAUAAUGAAAUAGGACGAUCGAUCCUAUUUUGUUGGUUUCUAGGAUUGACGUAAUGAUUAAUAGGGAUAGUUGGGGGCAUUAGUAUUCAAUUGUCAGAGGUGAAAUUCUUGGAUUUAUUGAAGACUAACUACUGCGAAAGCAUUUGCCAAGGAUGUUUUCAUUAAUCGAGAACGAAAGUUAGGGGAUCGAAGACGAUCAGAUACCGUCGUAGUCUUAACCAUAAACUAUGCCGACUAGGGAUCGGAUGAUGUUAAUUUUUUAAUGACUCAUUCGGCGCCUUACGGGAAA